This 253-nucleotide ribosomal RNA is filed under the name uncultured bacterium. Its description in RNAcentral is "partial 16S ribosomal RNA". It matches the Rfam family "Bacterial small subunit ribosomal RNA", at positions 524 to 776 of the family's 1533-position model. The record is from RNAcentral.
UACGAGGGGGGCAAGCGUUGUUCGGAUUUAUUGGGCGUAAAGAGCUCGUAGGCGGUUUGUCGCGUCUGCUGUGAAAUCCCGAGGCUCAACCUCGGGUCUGCAGUGGGUACGGGCAGACUAGAGUGUGGUAGGGGAGAUUGGAAUUCCUGGUGUAGCGGUGGAAUGCGCAGAUAUCAGGAGGAACACCGAUGGCGAAGGCAGAUCUCUGGGCCAUUACUGACGCUGAGAAGCGAAAGCGUGGGGAGCGAACAGG